AGUAAAAGUCGUAACAAGGUUUCCGUAGGUGAACCUGCGGAAGGAUCAUUACACAUUUUGGCCGUAACAAGCCUUAACCCUUCUCUACGCGUACCUCCACAUUCUCCUUCGGCGGGGUAACGCCCGCCGUCGGAACCUCAACAACCCUCUUUGCAUCUAGCAUCAUACCGGUUCUGAUAAAAAUACAAUCGUUACAACUUUCAACAAUGGAUCUCUUGGCUCUGGCAUCGAUGAAGAACGCAGCGAAAUGCGAUAAGUAGUGUGAAUUGCAGAAUUCAGUGAAUCAUCGAAUCUUUGAACGCACAUUGCGCCCCUUGGUAUUCCAUGGGGCAUGCCUGUUCGAGCGUCAUCUACACCCUCAAGCUCUGCUUGGUGUUGGGCGUCUGUCCCGCCUCCGCGCGUGGACUCGCCCCAAAUCCAUUGGCAGCGUCCCUUGCCCCCUCUCGCGCAGCACAUUGCGCUUCUCGAGGGCGGCUCCGGGGCGCGACCCACCGAAGAUGACCACCGUCUUUGACCUCGGAUCAGGUAGGGAUACCCGCUGAACUUAAGCAUAUCAAUAAGCGGAGGAAAAGAAACCAACAGGGAUUGCCCCAGUAACG
RNAcentral lists this ribosomal RNA (599 nucleotides) under uncultured fungus. Its description in RNAcentral is "eukaryotic LSU rRNA". The stretch from base 196 to 349 matches the Rfam family "5.8S ribosomal RNA". The record is from RNAcentral. Lineage: Eukaryota; Fungi.